AUGGAAACAAGUACCGAACAGGCCCCCGCGACUACGGAAACUGCUUCUAAUAAUGAACAGGAGCACAAUGAAGAGGGCAUGGAAGAAACUGAAGAUUAUAGUUUCGAUGGUGAAGAUUAUAGGCAUUUCGUACCACGGGGUCGAGGAGGCUUUAGGGGUCGUGGCAGAGGUGGGUUUGAUUUUCCCAUGAGAGGUGGACCUCCAAGAUUUAGAGGAAGAGGAUUUGGACCUAGAGGACCAAUGUUUCGGGGAGCGAAUAACGGAUUUCCAUUUGAGGGACCUCCUAGGCCAAAUUGUCCACCGGGUCCAGCAGGACCACGCUUUCGGGGACCUCCGCCGUUUGAUCCUAGCUGGGGACCUAUGGGGCCACCAAAUCUGAUGGGACCACCAAAUCUCAUGGGACCUCCAGGAAUGCCACCACCACACAUGAUGAAUGGCCCAAUUGGGACAGGUCCGGGACCAUACGGACCACCUCCUGGAAUGGGACCACCAAAUAUGAAUAACAUUCCAGGUCAGCAGCAACCCCCGCAACAACAGGCGCAACAACAAGCAAACAUUCCAGGAUUAGAUCUCAAUGGAGAGGUAUGGGUAGAAACAAAAACUCCAGAUGGCAAAUCAUAUUAUUAUAAUAUCCGCACGAGAGAAACUACAUGGACAAAACCAGAGGGACCAAAUGUCAAAGUUAUGGUACAAGACCAGUUAGAACAAUUGGUACAUGGAGCAUCUAAACAAACAACACCAUCUGGAACACCUACUUCUACAGCUACUACUCCCAAUCAAAUUAAUGAAAAUAGGGUGUCACAGAAUAACGAACAAUCUUCAACAAAUAAUGCAGAUGCUAUUAGUCAACUCAGUACAGCUCCUCCUGGUACAGGUCCACCUCCCACACUUGGUGAAACACCAGAUAUGAAUACGCAACCAACUGAUACAACACAAGCAAACGGAACAGCACCUACAACUGUAACUAAUACUCCAAAUAUGAAUACUCCAGCAGUAAAUACAAAUAUGAUGCAACCUCCUCCUAACAUGAUACCUAUGCAACAUAGAAUGCCAAAUCAAUUUGGUGGUCCAAUUGCAACACAAUUUGGAGCAGCACCUUUUGGUAUGCCACCACCAGGAUUUCAACCUUUUGGAGGCUAUGGUCCACCACAAGCAAAUUGGGGUAUGCCACAAAUGCCACAUGGAGUAAUGGCACCACAAGCUCCAGCAGAAGAUCCUGCUAUAUUAGCUCAACUAGAUCAAGAAUUAGUAGCAUCUGCUAUGGUAUGGACAGAACAUCGUGCACCAGAUGGAAGAUUAUAUUAUUAUAAUAGUAAAGCUGGAGAAUCUGUUUGGGAAAAACCACAAGCUUUAAAAGAUCUUGAAAAUGCAAAAUUAGCGUUACGACAAAAGGCAGAAGAAGCAGCUGCCAAUACUACAAAUGCUGCUGUGAGUACUUCCACUGUUACUAGUAACAAUGUAACCACUGAGCCUACAAAACAAGAAAAACCUCAAGAAAGUAAUCACGAAACCAAAGAUAGUGUAAAAGAAGCAGACGCUAAUAAACCGAAAAAAGAGGAAACUACACCCAAGGAAGCUGCCAAACCUCAAGAUAAAUCUAGACCAAUCUCUAGUACACCAGUACCUGGAACUCCUUGGUGCGUUGUUUGGACAGGCGAUGGACGUGUAUUCUUUUAUAAUCCUUCAUCGCGUAUUUCUGUUUGGGAAAGACCAGAUGAUCUCAUUGGUCGUCAAGAUGUCGAUAAAAUGGUAUCUACUCCACCAGAUGCAGUAGUAACUACCAAACCAACACGUCAAUCAGAUACAAGUGAAAGCAGUGACGAUGAUCAACCAACACCGGCAAAAAAAGUGAAACAAGAAGAUACAAAAGCUGUAACACCAAAAGAAGAAGAAGAAAAAGAAAAUAAAAAGACUAUUGACAUCGGGAAGGAAGCUGCAAUAGAGGCUGAAGUACGAGCUGCUAGAGAAAGAGCAAUUGUUCCUUUGGAAACAAGGAUUAAAUCGUUUAGGGAUAUGCUUGCAGAAAAAGAUGUAUCCGCGUUUAGUACUUGGGAAAAGGAACUUCAUAAAAUUGUGUUUGAUCCUCGGUAUUUACUUUUGACAUCAAAGGAGAGGAAACAAGUUUUCGAGAAGUACGUCAAGGAGAGAGCAGAAGAAGAAAGGCGGGAAAAGAGGAACAAAAUGAAGGAACGGAAAGAACAAUUUCAAAAAUUAUUAGAAGAAGCUGGACUUCAUGGAAAAUCUUCAUUUAGUGAUUUUGCUCAAAAACAUGGGCGUGAUGAACGGUUUAAGAAUGUAGAAAAGAUGCGUGAACGAGAGAGCCUAUUCAACGAAUAUCUACUGGAAGUGCGAAAGAAGGAAAAAGAGGAAAAAACAGCAAAACGAGAGCAGGUGAAAAAGGAAUUCAUAGCGAUGCUACGUGAACACAAAGACAUCGACAGGCAUUCGCAUUGGAGCGAUUGUAAGAAAAAAUUGGAAUCUGAUUGGAGAUACAGAGUCGUAGAGUCGGCAAGCACGAGAGAAGAUUGGUUUAGGGAUUACAUUCGUAUGCUAAAGGAGGAGAGGAAAAAGGAGAAGGAGAAAGACAAAGACCACCGGCACAGAGAAAAAGAUCAUCAUAAAUCGGAGAAGAAGGAUAGAGACCGUAAGGAUGUUGAUAAGUAUAAAGAAAAAUCAUCGAAGGAUCGGGUCGACAAGGACAGUUCAAAGGACAAAAAACGUAGGAGCGAAGUAGCUUCGGAGGAAAAUGGUAAAGAAAAGAAGGACGCGGUAUCGGAGAAAGAAAGUGGAGAAAUUGAAGAUAACGAUGAAAAACCAUCGAAAAAAGAAAAUGACAAGGAGAAUGCGGAAGAUCAAUCUGACUCUGAAGAAGAUCGCGAGAAACAGAAACGAGAGCGUGAAAGAAGGGCGGAAGCGAGUCUUCGUGAAAGAGAAAGAGAAGUUCAGAGAACUCUUGCUACGCAUCUUCGUGACAGAGACAAGGAAAGGCAACAUCAUCGUCAUACAGAAGCUGUACAGCAUUUCAGUGCCCUUCUUGCUGAUUUAGUGAGAAAUGGUGAUUUAGCUUGGAGAGAAGCCAAACGACAAUUAAGGAAGGAUCAUAGAUGGGAAUUAGCAGAAAGCUUAGAUCGUGAGGAAAAAGAAAGAUUAUUUAAUGAACAUAUAGAACAGCUUAGUCGCAAAAAACGUGAUAAAUUCCGAGAACUUCUUGAUGAAGUAGGAGCUUCUACUGAAUUAACUGCAUCGUGGCGAGAUAUAAAAAAAUUGUUGAAAGACGAUCCUAGAUAUCUUAAAUUUUCAUCCAGUGAUCGAAAAUGUGAAAAAGAAUUUAAAGAGUAUAUUAAAGAUAAACUUGUCGCAGCUAAAGCCGAUUUUAGAGAACUUCUACAAGAAACAAAACUUAUUACUGAUAAGACAUAUAAAAAAGUACAAGAAAAUAGCGGACAUUUAGCAGAAAUUGAAGAAAUUUUGAGGAAGGAUAGAAGAUUUCUUGUAUUGGAAGCAGCAGCUGCUGAACGAACACGUUUAUUAAUGGGAUAUUUAGAAGAAUUGGCACGUAGGGGUCCACCUCCACCACCUACUGCCUCCGAACCUUCAAGAAGACCAACCACAAACUAACGAGGCCCGCAUCAAAGCAUGGUAUAUAUAUGGUGUCCAAAUAACAAAUCAGUGAUUGAAUUUAUAGCUGUAGUUGAAUUGAAGUACUUUACACACGAGAUGAUUAUCGCCUGUAAUUAUAGGAUUCAAUAAAACUAACGCCAAUUCCACACAGCUAAAAAUGUGUGUCAUACUGUAAAGAUGCCAUAGUGUUUGUUACAUAAGCACCCCAUUAUGAAUCUUUUGUAUGAAAAUUACAUGAGAAUUACAACGAGUGUUUGUUACACACUCUCAACUAGUUUAAAAGCAUGCGCAGUGAAUUUCUAUAAACUGAUGUUAAAAUAUAAUAGUCCAAAAAAUUUUAAUCCUUGUAUCUAAAACAAACAAAAAAUGUAUAACGUACGACAAUCAUGCACCAUAAUUUUUUGACGGAGUAUAGUUCGAAAAUAAUUUUCAAUUUUCGAAUUAUUUUUCUCAUACAGCUUUAUUGGAUCAUGAAACGUAAGUAUCCUAUAAAACAUUGUCAUAAAAAAAUUUUGAUUCUAAAGAAUUCGUAAAAA
This 4157-nucleotide unclassified non-coding RNA is filed under the name Apis florea (little honeybee). Its description in RNAcentral is "transcription elongation regulator 1, transcript variant X1". Lineage: Eukaryota; Metazoa; Arthropoda; Insecta; Hymenoptera; Apidae. The record is from RNAcentral.